CAGUCGCGUUGGUUGGGAAUCAGUCUUGCUUCUGCAUGAUGUACUUUCCAGUCAAUGGGUCAGCAUCAGUUUUGACUGCUGGAUAAAGGCUGAGGGAAUGUGGCACCUUCGGGUGUGUUAUAGCCCUCGGUUGUAUGUGCCGGAUUAGACUGAGGAACGCAGCUUGCAGCAAUGCCGGGUUCCGCCCCACGUACAAGCUUAGGAUGUUGACAUAAUGGCUUUAAACGACCCGUCUUAAAACACGGACCAAGGAGUCUAACAUAU
RNAcentral lists this ribosomal RNA (264 nucleotides) under Rhizophagus intraradices. The record is from RNAcentral. Lineage: Eukaryota; Fungi; Glomeromycota; Glomeromycetes; Glomerales; Glomeraceae.